GUCUGUUUGUAGUUGUAGAGAGUUUAACCUGCCCACUGAUAAAAAUUUAAAGGCCGCGGUAAUUUGACCGUGCAAAGGUAGCAUAGUAAUUAGUUUCUUAAUUGGGAUCUUGUAUGAAUGGUUGGACAAGAAAAAAUCUGUCUUUAUAUUUAUUAUUGAAUUUAACUUUUGAGUGAAAAGGCUUAAAUGAAUUAAAGGGACGAUAAGACCCUAUAAAACUUUAUAUUGUUUAUUAUAUAGUUGAAUUUUAUGGAAUAAAAGCUUAAUAAUAGGAUUUAUUAUAUUGGGGUGAUAAAGGUAAAAUUUUUGAUAACUGCUUAAUUUUUAAAAACAAAAAUAAAUGAAGUGUAAAAUGAUCCUAAUUAAAGAUUAAAAGUUUAAGUUACUUUAGGGAUAACAGCGUUAUUUUUUUUGAGAGUUCAUAUCGAAAAAAAAGUUUGCGACCUCGAUGUUGAAUUAAAAUUUCUAUAUAAUUGCAGCAGUUAUAUAAGAAGGUCUGUUCGACCUUUAAAUUUUUACAUGAUUUGAGUUCAAACCGGCGUGAGCCAGGUUGGUUUCUAUCUUUUAAUAAAAAAUUUAUUAC
Molecule: ribosomal RNA, 583 nt
Filed under: Plagusia immaculata
Lineage: Eukaryota; Metazoa; Arthropoda; Malacostraca; Decapoda; Plagusiidae
Description: partial 16S ribosomal RNA
Rfam family: Bacterial large subunit ribosomal RNA
Source: RNAcentral